GGAAGACUGCCGGCUCUCCUGCGGCGCCGGGACUUCAGGCCACCCGCUUCACGGCUUGGCGGGCGUCCCCGCCCUUUCCGCUCGGAUGCAGAAGCCCAGAGAUGAAGCUCGCCUGCGAGGGUAGCCGGGCGCCCCCAGCCACACGGGGGAUAGACUGCCAGACAGUGUCAGUAACGAGUGGGCGUGAGGUGAGGCUCAGGGGGGCCAGAGGAGACAGCGCGGUCCGCAGGAAAGCCUUCUCCCAACAAGAAUCACUUCUUUCGCUUUGUUUGAGUCCUGAGCCCAGGCCCGCAGGUGUGAGGAAGUCCUGCGCCUUGGGGGCCUAUAGGCUGAGCGGCAAGAGAUGAGUUCAGAGUCCGGCCCACGUGCACAGAGGGCCUUGUGGGAGCUGCGCUUUGGCCCCCAGGGCAGUGGGGAGCCCACUGAAAGAUUUUCAGUCAGAGGGAGAAGGUCAGAUGUUUUAGGAAAACCAUUUAACCUGUAUGGUGGAGACCAACAGAGGCCCCCAGGCUGGGUUGGCAGUAGUCUGGGGGAGAGGAUGGUUGUGAUAGUGUGGACAGAAGUGGCAGAUUUUGGAGAUAUUUAGACAAUAAUAUGGAACUUGUUUGGGAAGUGAGAUGUGGAGGUGAGGAGUCCAGGAUGACCUCAGGUGCCUGUCUGGUGACCAGGCAGAUGGAGGUCUCACCCAUCAAGAUGCACAUGGGGAGAAGCAGGUUUGGCGGCUUCUUUGUCCCUAUGUCCAUGUUCCUCUGGGCUGGUCCUACAGCUUCAGUCAUCAUCUUCAAACCCAAAUGCUGGGCCUCUCCCCUGGUAUCCCUUAGUGCCCCAGAUUCUACCUGGCCCAAACCACGCGCCAGCCUCCACCAAAACACAGACAUACAGAAGUUCAGUUAUUCAACAGAGAUUUAAUGAGCCCCUACUAUAUGUCAGACAGGUAAUAGAAAUAUUUAGCAGUUUUUAAAAAUUCCCAGUCUCCUGGGGUUUACAUUUUAGUGGGGAAGAGACAGACAAGGUACUUAAAAUACAUCAGAAGUCAGACGGUGACAAGUGCUAUAAAGAAAAAUAGAGCAGGAUAAGAAGGACAGAGAAUGGUGGACAAGAGUUGCAAUUUUAUAGGGGGAAGACUAGAAAGUGAUGGCUGAGCAAAGACCUAAAGGAGGUCAAGGAUUAAGCCAUGCAGACUUCUGGGUGAAGAGUUUUUCAGACAGAGGGAACAAGGGCAGAGGCCCUGAGGUAGAAGUGUGCCUUGUUUGUUCAGUGAACCAAAAAGCCAGUGUGGCUGGAAUGGAAUGAAUGAGGGGGAAGAAAGAGAGAUCACAGGAGGCCAGAUCACAUACAGCCCUGUAGACCAUUGGCUUCUACUCUGAGUGAAAUGGAAAGUGUUGGCCAGAGAAGAGAUAUGAGAUUUACAUACUGAGACAGUGUUCCUCAACCCUGGCCACAAGUUCGAAUCAUCUGGGGUGCUGUAAAAAUACCUCUAGCUGGGCCCCACUUCAUAGCAAUUACAUUAGAAUAUCUGGGGUGAGGUGCAGACAUAGGAACUUUUUGAGAAUUCCCCGGUAGAUUUUAAAUUGCAGCUAAGGCUGAGGGUGACAGUGUUAGAAGGAUUUCUCUCUGUCUCUUUCUCAGGCGGCUUUGUCCGGAGUAGGCUGUAGGUAGGCAAGGGCAGAGGGAAGUUCUUUCAGAAAGCUAGAUGAGAUUUGCAGGUGGCGUGGACCAGCUGCCAGAGUGGUAGCAAUGGAGGUGGUGAGAAAUGGUCAGUUUCCAGUUAUGUAUUUGAGCCAACAGGACUUGAUGAUGGCUUGGAUAUAGAAUGUGAGGAAAAGGGAAGUCAAAGUUGACUCAGGCUUGGCCCAGGAGACCCUUCACUCUUACUGCUUUGUCAUUUCCUGCCUGCCCACUCCAUCCUGAGCUCCAGGCACUCCAGUUCUCCUCGACUUGUUACCAGUAUAAUCUUGUCCGUUUUUCUGGUGAACUAUGCAUGCUGAAAACCCAGCAAAUGCGCCAAAGUCUUACCAGUCUCCUAAGGCAAACAAGCCCACCUCAGUAUCUACUUGUAACACUGAACACAUUGUAUCAAAUUAUUUUUUAAAGGGUCUGUCUCCACUGCUGAAAUCUGAGUUUCUUGGUAUGUACAAGAAGGAAAAAGCUCAGCUUUGGAAACUGGACAGAAGAGAGUUUGAAUCACAGCUUCCCCAGGUCCUGGCUGUAUGAUACAGAAGAAGUUGCUUCACCUCUCUUAGCUUCACUUUCCACUGACUUGCAGGACUGUUGAGAAGACUGGUAACAAUGUGCAGCAAUAAUAGGGACCAAUUACCACGUGGUCCUUAUUUAUCUUGGUUUUCCAAGAGUCUGACCCACAGGGAGGAUCAAAGCAAAGGUAUUAGGGAUAUAUUACAUGGACGGUGGCCAUGCCAAAUGUCAGGGUUUCCUCCAGCUGGAGGUUCCCUGUGCUCCAGAUGCUGCCUGAGAUGAAGGGUGGAUGGAAAUGCAGCAAGGGCACUGCACUGGGAAGUAGGAGCCUGGGGAUCCAGUGUCGGCUCUGCCACUGGCACUCUGGACCACUCUGGAGGUCCCCCUGAGGCCUUAUUUUACUCUAUUUUAUUUUAUUUUGGCCACACCGUGCGGCUCAUAGGAUCUUAGUUCCCCAACCAGGGACUGAACCCAGGCCCACAGCAGUGAACUCGCAGAGCCCUAACCACUGGACUGCGAGGGAAUUCCCCUAUUUAAUUUUUUAAAAAUUUACUUAUUUGGCUGCAAUGGGUCUUGGUUGCGGCACGCAGGACCUUCAUCCCAGCAUGUGGGAUCUUUUUUUUCGUUGUGGCCUGUGGGCUCUUUAGUUGCGGCAUGUGAACUCUCAGUUGCGCAUGUGGGGUCUAGUUCCCUGACCAGGGAUCAAACCCGGGCCCCCUGCACUGGGAGCGUGGAGUCUUAGCCACUGAACCACCAGGGAAAUCCCUCCCCUCAUAUUUAAAAUGAAGAGAUAUUGUGAUCCUCUACUAAUACACCUCAAGUGUAUGCCUCCUCCCUGGAUAUAAAUGCUUCAGUGGCUCCCCAUUGCCCUCAGAAGGGUCCAACCUCUCAGCACAAGGCAUUCCACCAUUUGGCCCCGUCUGUCCUCAUCUUUCACUACUGACCCUCUCAUGAUCUUCAAGCCAGCCACCAGCAAUUCUUUCUGGUCUUGAAGGCACAGGGCUCCUUGCCUCCAAGGCUCUUGCCUUGGUCUGGAACACGCCACUCUCCCUCAUCACUUAACUCCUGCAGGUCUCCACUGAACACUGUACACUGCAGCUGCUACAGGGUCUGGAGCUUAGCCAGGACUAGGGUCGGAGAUAAAUUCUGGAUUUAGAAAUAUGCAGAUUGUAAUUAAAGCUAUGGGGCCAAAUGAAAUUACCUAGAAAUCGUCUCACUCAGCUAAACGGUCUGCACUUUUUUGAAUGCACACCGUCAGAAAAAUUAAGUAUGUACCCCUCAGUAUACUAUACAGAUAUGCACGUUUAUAAAAUAUACACAAAAAUAGAAAUUUUAAAAGGUGAAAUUAAAAUAUGUAUACCUAUGA
Orcinus orca (killer whale) is the source of this 3559-nucleotide long non-coding RNA. RefSeq lists it as uncharacterized. The record is from RefSeq and is a predicted model, not a curated record. NCBI's taxonomy places the organism in Eukaryota, Metazoa, Chordata, Mammalia, Artiodactyla, Delphinidae. The transcript has 2 exons.